This 1550-nucleotide ribosomal RNA is filed under the name Mesorhizobium sp. RNAcentral's name for it is "bacterial SSU rRNA". It matches the Rfam family "Bacterial small subunit ribosomal RNA". Lineage: Bacteria; Pseudomonadati; Pseudomonadota; Alphaproteobacteria; Hyphomicrobiales; Phyllobacteriaceae. The record is from RNAcentral.
AAAUUGAAGAGUUUGAUCAUGGCUCAGAUUGAACGCUGGCGGCAGGCCUAACACAUGCAAGUCGAACGGUAGCACAGAGAGCUUGCUCUCGGGUGACGAGUGGCGGACGGGUGAGUAAUGUCUGGGAAACUGCCUGAUGGAGGGGGAUAACUACUGGAAACGGUAGCUAAUACCGCAUAACGUCGCAAGACCAAAGAGGGGGACCUUCGGGCCUCUUGCCAUCAGAUGUGCCCAGAUGGGAUUAGCUAGUAGGUGGGGUAACGGCUCACCUAGGCGACGAUCCCUAGCUGGUCUGAGAGGAUGACCAGCCACACUGGAACUGAGACACGGUCCAGACUCCUACGGGAGGCAGCAGUGGGGAAUAUUGCACAAUGGGCGCAAGCCUGAUGCAGCCAUGCCGCGUGUAUGAAGAAGGCCUUCGGGUUGUAAAGUACUUUCAGCGGGGAGGAAGGUGUUGUGGUUAAUAACCGCAGCAAUUGACGUUACCCGCAGAAGAAGCACCGGCUAACUCCGUGCCAGCAGCCGCGGUAAUACGGAGGGUGCAAGCGUUAAUCGGAAUUACUGGGCGUAAAGCGCACGCAGGCGGUCUGUCAAGUCGGAUGUGAAAUCCCCGGGCUCAACCUGGGAACUGCAUUCGAAACUGGCAGGCUAGAGUCUUGUAGAGGGGGGUAGAAUUCCAGGUGUAGCGGUGAAAUGCGUAGAGAUCUGGAGGAAUACCGGUGGCGAAGGCGGCCCCCUGGACAAAGACUGACGCUCAGGUGCGAAAGCGUGGGGAGCAAACAGGAUUAGAUACCCUGGUAGUCCACGCCGUAAACGAUGUCGAUUUGGAGGUUGUGCCCUUGAGGCGUGGCUUCCGGAGCUAACGCGUUAAAUCGACCGCCUGGGGAGUACGGCCGCAAGGUUAAAACUCAAAUGAAUUGACGGGGGCCCGCACAAGCGGUGGAGCAUGUGGUUUAAUUCGAUGCAACGCGAAGAACCUUACCUGGUCUUGACAUCCACAGAACUUAGCAGAGAUGCUUUGGUGCCUUCGGGAACUGUGAGACAGGUGCUGCAUGGCUGUCGUCAGCUCGUGUUGUGAAAUGUUGGGUUAAGUCCCGCAACGAGCGCAACCCUUAUCCUUUGUUGCCAGCGGUUAGGCCGGGAACUCAAAGGAGACUGCCAGUGAUAAACUGGAGGAAGGUGGGGAUGACGUCAAGUCAUCAUGGCCCUUACGACCAGGGCUACACACGUGCUACAAUGGCGCAUACAAAGAGAAGCGACCUCGCGAGAGCAAGCGGACCUCAUAAAGUGCGUCGUAGUCCGGAUUGGAGUCUGCAACUCGACUCCAUGAAGUCGGAAUCGCUAGUAAUCGUAGAUCAGAAUGCUACGGUGAAUACGUUCCCGGGCCUUGUACACACCGCCCGUCACACCAUGGGAGUGGGUUGCAAAAGAAGUAGGUAGCUUAACCUUCGGGAGGGCGCUUACCACUUUGUGAUUCAUGACUGGGGUGAAGUCGUAACAAGGUAACCGUAGGGGAACCUGCGGUUGGAUCACCUCCUUACCUUAAAGAA